This 163-nucleotide ribosomal RNA is filed under the name Lespedeza fasciculiflora. RNAcentral describes it as "5.8S ribosomal RNA". It matches the Rfam family "5.8S ribosomal RNA". From Rfam's summary of the family: 5.8S ribosomal RNA (5.8S rRNA) is a component of the large subunit of the eukaryotic ribosome. Lineage: Eukaryota; Viridiplantae; Streptophyta; Magnoliopsida; Fabales; Fabaceae. The record is from RNAcentral.
GAAUGACUCUCGGCAACGGAUAUCUCGGCUCUUGCAUCGAUGAAGAACGUAGCGAAAUGCGAUACUUGGUGUGAAUUGCAGAAUCCCGUGAACCAUCGAGUCUUUGAACGCAAGUUACGCCCGAAGCCAUUAGGCCGAGGGCACGCCUGCCUGGGUGUCACAC